CGCGUAGGUGGUUUAUCAAGUCAUUUGUGAAAACUUUAGGCUUAACUUAAAGAUUGCAAGUGAUACUGGUAAACUUGAGUACAGUAGAGGAAAGUGGAAUUCCUGGUGUAGCGGUGAAAUGCGCAGAUAUCAGGAAGAACACCAGUGGCGAAAGCGGCUUUCUGGGCUGUUACUGACACUGAGGCGCGAAAGCUAGGGGAGCGAACAGGAUUAGAUACCCUGGUAGUCCUAGCUGUAAACGAUGGACACUAGGUGUGGGAAGGUUAUCGACGCUUUCUGUGCCGAAGCUAACGCAUUAAGUGUCCCGCCUGGGGAGUACGGCCGCAGGCUAA
This 332-nucleotide ribosomal RNA is filed under the name uncultured bacterium. RNAcentral describes it as "bacterial SSU rRNA". It matches the Rfam family "Bacterial small subunit ribosomal RNA", at positions 568 to 897 of the family's 1533-position model. The record is from RNAcentral.